UACGAAGGGGGCUAGCGUUGCUCGGAAUCGACUAGGGGCGUAAAGGGUGCGUAGGCGGGUCUUUAAGUCAGGGUGAAAUACCUGGAGCUCCAACCUCCAGAACUGCCUUUGAUACUGAAGUAUCGUUGAGUUCGGGAGAGGUGAGUGGGAACUGCGAGUGUAGAGGUGAAAAUUCGUAGAUAUUCGCAAGAACACCAGUGGCGAAAGGCGGCUCACUGGCCCGAUACUGACGCUGAGGCACGAAAGCGAUGG
Molecule: ribosomal RNA, 252 nt
Filed under: uncultured bacterium
Lineage: Bacteria
Description: partial 16S ribosomal RNA
Rfam family: Bacterial small subunit ribosomal RNA
Source: RNAcentral